RNAcentral lists this small nucleolar RNA (104 nucleotides) under Chinchilla lanigera (long-tailed chinchilla). RNAcentral's name for it is "Small nucleolar RNA SNORA28 (ENSCLAG00000020916.1)". Lineage: Eukaryota; Metazoa; Chordata; Mammalia; Rodentia; Chinchillidae. The record is from RNAcentral.
AAAUAAUACUCUGGCAGAUUAUCAAAAUAGUCUGGCACAGUUUGAGCUUGCUCCAACAGGAAAAUCUAACCCAUUCCAGCACUCUCGACUUUGUUUAAAAAAAA